RNAcentral lists this ribosomal RNA (492 nucleotides) under uncultured bacterium. Its description in RNAcentral is "partial 16S ribosomal RNA". It matches the Rfam family "Bacterial small subunit ribosomal RNA", at positions 29 to 507 of the family's 1533-position model. The record is from RNAcentral.
AGUGAACGCUGGCGGUAGGCCUAACACAUGCAAGUCGAACGGCAGCACAGUAAGAGCUUUCUCUUACUGGUGGCGAGUGGCGGACGGGUGAGGAAUACAUCGGAAUCUACUUUUUCGUGGGGGAUAACGUAGGGAAACUUACGCUAAUACCGCAUACUACCUACGGGUGAAAUCAGGGGAUCUUCGGACCUUGCGCGAUUGAAUGAGCCGAUGUCGGAUUAGCUAGUUGGCGGGGUAAAGGCCCACCAAGGCGACGAUCCGUAGCUGGUCUGAGAGGAUGAUCAGCCACACUGGAACUGAGACACGGUCCAGACUCCUACGGGAGGCAGCAGUGGGGAAUAUUGGACAAUGGGCGAAAGCCUGAUCCAGCCAUACCGCGUGGGUGAAGAAGGCCUUCGGGUUGUAAAGCCCUUUUGUUGGGAAAGAAAAGCAGCAGGUUAAUACCCCGAUGUUCUGACGGUACCCAAAGAAUAAGCACCGGCUAACUUCGAG